This 313-nucleotide ribosomal RNA is filed under the name uncultured bacterium. RNAcentral describes it as "bacterial SSU rRNA". It matches the Rfam family "Bacterial small subunit ribosomal RNA", at positions 28 to 334 of the family's 1533-position model. The record is from RNAcentral.
GACGAACGCUGGCGGCGUGCCUAAUACAUGCAAGUCGAGCGGUAACGGGGAGGGAGAUUACUUUCUCUGCUGACGAGUGGCGGACGGGUGAGUAAAGCUUGGGAAUCUGGCGAAUGGAGGGGGAUAGCCACGGGAAACUGUGGGUAAUACCGCGUAACGUCUAAGGACUAAAGGGGUGGGACUGAGAGGCCACCUGCCAUUUGAUGAGCCCAAGUGGGAUUAGGUAGUUGGUGAGGUAAGGGCUCACCAAGCUGACGAUCUCUAGCUGGUCUGAGAGGAUGGCCAGCCACACUGGAACUGAGACACGGUCCAG